UUUCCAUUCACUUUUUACGGAGGCUUUAUUAUUCAAUAUGAACAAUUUUAAUGGACUCUAAGCCCUAUCCGUUUUCUAACAGCUGUGACAGAAGCAAAAUGUAUUUAAAUAAACGAAGUCUUACCGCACUCCUCAAAUUUUGGGUACGUGAACACACUAUUAGUGUCAAAAUAGACGCCAAAAAAGGAGCACAAGCUAAAAGUGCGCAGGAGAGGGAGUAUCGCUCCUGCAACAAGAACGACCACUCACUUUUGUGUGUUAUCGUUUCUAAUUUGUUUCAAAUUAAAUGAGUUUUAAACAUU
Molecule: long non-coding RNA, 302 nt
Organism: Drosophila biarmipes
Lineage: Eukaryota; Metazoa; Arthropoda; Insecta; Diptera; Drosophilidae
Exons: 2
Source: RefSeq, a predicted model, not a curated record